RNAcentral lists this ribosomal RNA (496 nucleotides) under Escherichia coli. RNAcentral's name for it is "partial 23S ribosomal RNA". It matches the Rfam family "Bacterial large subunit ribosomal RNA", at positions 1 to 536 of the family's 2925-position model. Lineage: Bacteria; Pseudomonadati; Pseudomonadota; Gammaproteobacteria; Enterobacterales; Enterobacteriaceae. The record is from RNAcentral.
GGUUAAGCGACUAAGCGUACACGGUGGAUGCCCUGGCAGUCAGAGGCGAUGAAGGACGUGCUAAUCUGCGAUAAGCGUCGGUAAGGUGAUAUGAACCGUUAUAACCGGCGAUUUCCGAAUGGGGAAACCCAGUGUGUUUCGACACACUAUCAUUAACUGAAUCCAUAGGUUAAUGAGGCGAACCGGGGGAACUGAAACAUCUAAGUACCCCGAGGAAAAGAAAUCAACCGAGAUUCCCCCAGUAGCGGCGAGCGAACGGGGAGCAGCCCAGAGCCUGAAUCAGUGUGUGUGUUAGUGGAAGCGUCUGGAAAGGCGCGCGAUACAGGGUGACAGCCCCGUACACAAAAAUGCACAUACUGUGAGCUCGAUGAGUAGGGCGGGACACGUGGUAUCCUGUCUGAAUAUGGGGGGACCAUCCUCCAAGGCUAAAUACUCCUGACUGACCGAUAGUGAACCAGUACCGUGAGGGAAAGGCGAAAAGAACCCCGGCGAGGGG